GACAGAGAGAACGAAGGAAAGAAAAUGAAAAUGGAGAUUUUGAUUAAAAUUCUUCCAAAAUUCAUAACUUGAGCUAGAGACCUCCAAAUCACUCCGUUCCAAAGCCAAACCUGUGAGAAAUUUCGAGAGGAAUCUAUUGGUACCAGUAUUUCUGAGUGGGGUUCACUGUAGAGAGAGAUCUUCUCCCCCAAAGAAUUCGAAUUUCAUGGAAAAUAUGGGUUUUGAUGGAGCUUGAAGCCAUGGGAGCUUGAAGCAAGCUUCUCCCUUCAUUCUAGGUGUACCUAGGGACUGUGAACGUUUGGAUUCUCGUGGAGUAUGAUAAGUAGCUUGUUCUUCAAGUAAGCAGAUUGUAAAGCUCAAAGAGGAACACAGUUAAUUGAAGAGCCUCAUGGGACAAGGACACUAACCGUGGCUAGAGGUACUAGUAUGAGGAUGUGGAGUUCUGGGUGGUCGGAUGCUACUAUUUGUUUUAGACGUAUUUUUGGAAAAGAUGUAUUGUUGCAUAGUGUUCAUAUUCGAUACAUGUACAUUUAUGUAUUCAGGCAUGAUGAUAUGACUAUGUAGUAUUCAGUUAUGUUAUGUAUUGGAUUGCAUGCUAUUAGAUUUGUGGCACAGAGCCAAGU
Long non-coding RNA from Gastrolobium bilobum, 623 nucleotides. RefSeq lists it as uncharacterized. NCBI's taxonomy places the organism in Eukaryota, Viridiplantae, Streptophyta, Magnoliopsida, Fabales, Fabaceae. The transcript has 3 exons. The record is from RefSeq and is a predicted model, not a curated record.